RNAcentral lists this ribosomal RNA (492 nucleotides) under uncultured bacterium. RNAcentral's name for it is "partial 16S ribosomal RNA". It matches the Rfam family "Bacterial small subunit ribosomal RNA", at positions 29 to 507 of the family's 1533-position model. The record is from RNAcentral.
AGUGAACGCUGGCGGUAGGCCUAACACAUGCAAGUCGAACGGCAGCACAGUAAGAGCUUGCUCUUACGGGUGGCGAGUGGCGGACGGGUGAGGAAUACAUCGGAAUCUACUUUUUCGUGGGGGAUAACGUAGGGAAACUUACGCUAAUACCGCAUACGACCUACGGGUGAAAGCAGGGGAUCUUCGGACCUUGCGCGAUUGAAUGAGCCGAUGUCGGAUUAGCUAGUUGGCGGGGUAAAGGCCCACCAAGGCGACGAUCCGUAGCUGGUCUGAGAGGAUGAUCAGCCACACUGGAACUGAGACACGGUCCAGACUCCUACGGGAGGCAGCAGUGGGGAAUAUUGGACAAUGGGCGCAAGCCUGAUCCAGCCAUACCGCGUGGGUGAAGAAGGCCUUCGGGUUGUAAAGCCCUUUUGUUGGGAAAGAAAAGCAGCAGGUUAAUACCCCGCUGUUCUGACGGUACCCAAAGAGUAAGCACCGGCUAACUUCGCG